GUCGAACGCUGGCGGCGUGCCUAAUACAUGCAAGUCGAACGCAGUGGGGACGAGUGAGUAACACGUGGGUAACCUCCCAUCAGAGGGGAUAACACUUGGAAACAGGUGAUAAACCGAUACUGAUGGAUGGACCCGCGGUGCAUUAGCUAGUUGGUGAGGUAACGGCUCACCAAGGCCACGAUGCAUAGCCGACCUUAGAGGGUGAUCGGCCACACUGGGACUGGGACACGGUCCAGACUACAACGGGAGGCAGCAGCAGUGAAUCUUCGGCAAGGGACGACAGUCUGCCCGAGCAACGCCGCGGUAAUUC
Molecule: ribosomal RNA, 310 nt
Filed under: uncultured bacterium
Lineage: Bacteria
Description: partial 16S ribosomal RNA
Rfam family: Bacterial small subunit ribosomal RNA
Source: RNAcentral